RNAcentral lists this ribosomal RNA (497 nucleotides) under uncultured bacterium. RNAcentral describes it as "partial 16S ribosomal RNA". It matches the Rfam family "Bacterial small subunit ribosomal RNA", at positions 28 to 507 of the family's 1533-position model. The record is from RNAcentral.
GAUGAACGCUGGCGGCGUGCCUAAUACAUGCAAGUCGAGCGAACGGACGAGAAGCUUGCUUCUCUAAUGUUAGCGGCGGACGGGUGAGUAACACGUGGAUAACCUACCUAUAAGGCUGGGAUAACUUCGGGAAACCGUAGCUAAUACCGGAUAAUAUUUUGAACCGCAUGGUUCAAAAGUGAAAGACGGUCUUGCUGUCACUUAUAGAUGGAUCCGCGCUGCAUUAGCUAGUUGGUAAGGUAACGGCUUACCAAGGCAACGAUGCAUAGCCGACCUGAGAGGGUGAUCGGCCACACUGGAACUGAGACACGGUCCAGACUCCUACGGGAGGCAGCAGUAGGGAAUCUUCCGCAAUGGGCGAAAGCCUGACGGAGCAACGCCGCGUGAGCGAUGAAGGUCUUCGGAUCGUAAAACUCUGUUAUUAGGGAAGAACAUAUGUGUAAGUAACUGUGCACAUCUUGACGGUACCUAAUCAGAAAGCCACGGCUAACUACGUG